This is a long non-coding RNA of Thunnus maccoyii (southern bluefin tuna), 2736 nucleotides long. RefSeq lists it as uncharacterized. The record is from RefSeq and is a predicted model, not a curated record. The transcript has 3 exons. NCBI's taxonomy places the organism in Eukaryota, Metazoa, Chordata, Actinopteri, Scombriformes, Scombridae.
CACACAUUCAGUCAUCCUUUAACACUCACCCACUUUUUUGUAACAUACAAAUGCGCUCAAGAGUUUGCCACUGAAGAUGGAGUUUCAGUUGAAGCGCUUCUGUCUGUCUAUUUUAAGAUUAAAUAUGCAGCAAUAACCUUCAAAUACAAAGAACAUGGUUAAUGCAUUAGUGUGAGCGUGUGUGUAAUAUAUGACAAUUUCUAUGUUUAGCUGUACAAGAUAAGUAUAAAGAGGCGCUCAUGACAGACUUUCUCUAUUUCAGAUUCCACACAGCUUUUGUGUUCCAUUUUGUAUUUAUUCUUGCUGCAAUUUCAAAGUAAUGCAUUUGUUUUUAUUAUUGAGCCUUUUAAAUGAUGACUGAAACUUGUAUGUUAACAGGUUAAGUGGAAAAUACAUGAUAACAGGUUCCCAGAUAAUUAGAAUUAAAACUAAACUAAACUGUAAACUACUUUAGCAAGAUUUUGGCAAUUUUGUGGCAACUUGAUUGUUUAUGCCAAGUUAGUGCAAGUGAUAUGAGCGGGAUCUGAAAACCAUCCAUUUGUUUAAAAGGAGCUUAGUAAAAGUUAAAUCAAGAAAACUACUACAUUGUACACUCAGUAAACAGAAAAAAACAACACUGUAUAAAGUAAUAUCAUCCAAUAAAACAAUUCUGCAUUGCAUUCAUUUGUGAGUUUAGUUGUUGCUGUGACUGUUAUAGAGAAUAUUUCAUUCAAUUAUAGCAUUUGAAGCUGGGGUUAGUGGUUUCUGGAUUGCAUUAUAUCAAAAGGUAUUUUUAUAUCCACCAUUGUGACAGCCAUGAAGCCAAGUCAUCUAAACCAUUACAUUCAUGCUAUGCAGUGACUAGCAAAAAAUACUGAAUAUUAUAACAUUCAUGUAAAAAAAAACCCAAAAAACGGUGGGUCAACUGUCUUGGAAAAGAUAACAAGAUGGCUUGAGUUGCAAAAAUAGAUAAAUACAGUGAGGAAACUAAAACUUGGACAUCCAGAGGGGAAUAAUGUGUGUCACCAAUAUCAAACGGAUCUCCCCCUUCAGCACCUCCACCAAACGUUCUGGUGCUCGGAAGCAUGUCUACCGUACCUCUCUACCAGGCCAUCUGUGUCUGGGUGAUAAGGAGAUGUCCUGAUAGCGGUAAUGCCCAACUCCUUAUACAGCUGUCUCAUCAGGCGGGAUGUAAAGUUGAUUCCCUGGUCGGUCAGGAUCUCCUCUGGGAUGCCUACGUGAGAAAAGAGCUGGACAAGAGCACUGAGCAAUUUUAGAGUGGUUACCGACUACAGAGGAAAAGCUUCAGGGAAUCCAGUAGCGUAUUGACAUACAACACGAAUAUACUGAUAUCUUGCUGAGCUUUUUUCCAGGGGCCCCACAAUGUCCAUUGCAAUCCAUUUAAAUGGGGUGGUAAUCACCGGCAUGGCUUAUCUUCCAGUUUACACAAUCAGCAAUUUUACUGCCAGUUCUUACAUUGAACAAAUAUAACUCAUUAAAGGGAUCAUCACUUCCUAGUCAAAUACCUUAAAUAAAGCCCAAAACUCUGACACAAUUUCAUCAAUAAGGUAACAUAAUCUAUUGUAACCCGGGUAACAAAGAGUUAACAACAUGGAAGUGCCUCAGCCAAUCAGAGCGCAGGUCCGCAGCACCGUAGGCAAGCUACACAGCGUACGCUAGUCAGACGCUGGGUGACACUGUUGAGAGAGGACCCACUGCUGAACGCUUGUAGAUGUGUGUGUGUGAGAUGCUGCUCACUGAAACCUGCCGAGUGACACAGAGGAAAUCCCGCAUUGGUCAGGUUUUUUGAGUUGAUUUGAAGUUGAUGGCGAGCCAAACCAGACGAGACCAUUAGAUCCCUGGAUUGAAGAUCCCUGAACCGAGAGCCCAGAGCCGAGAACUGUCAACUUUACCUCUCUCCUGCCACAGUGGUAGGGCAAACAUCUUAACUGCACAAGGCCAGCACCACUUUCAUGCUCAACCCCCAGCCCCACUUGCACAAUCCAAAAUCCCAGACUCUGACUUAACUCUCUAUUUUUUGACUCGACUUGGAAAAGACACUUACCUUCUUCAUUCUUCUUCAAACGCAUUCCCUGUGCCUGUGGAAGAACUGAGCCAUGACCAGCACUGGUUAAAAUGAGUGGACAAAGUAUUCAUUUGUUAUUGCUGGAGCAGUGAAAAGUGAACUGUUGUAAGGUUGAAGUGUGUUGUGAAGUGAUAAUAUUGAACAUGAUGUGGUUCAUCACAUCGAAAUAUUGAGAAUUGAGAUUACCUAUAGAAGGGUUCACCCAGUCAAAACAGAGAAGUAGUAGUAAAACUCAGUGGUUCAAAACCAAAAGAAGGGGUGACAGAAGAAAUCAUUUGUUGCUGAAUUGAAACUGCGAUAUCUUUGUGGAAUUUAACUAUUUGCUGAACUUAAAGUUAUUUAAUUUAUUUUGUUUAUUUUCAAAAAUAAUACACGGUACCAGUUUACAGCUUCUUGUCUCGUGUGGUCAUUUAAUGUUGCAAAUAUCCAUUUCUGCCUCCUGUCCGAAUCUGGUAUCAUCUGAUUCUGGUCCAGAAUUAUUACAAUCCUUACUAAAUAGUAGUGUUAGGAGCCGAGUGCUACACUAUGAUCUAGUUAAACAUGGUAUCUUCCGCCAUCGGCACACAUGCACGUGACCACUAUAGCCUCUAUUUAAAACAGCACUAUGCAUCGGCCCUGUUUCGGACUGCUGAGCAAAACACUUCCUCGUGAGAUGAGUAUUAAUAAAUCGA